Molecule: long non-coding RNA, 1325 nt
Organism: Panthera uncia (snow leopard)
Lineage: Eukaryota; Metazoa; Chordata; Mammalia; Carnivora; Felidae
Exons: 5
Source: RefSeq, a predicted model, not a curated record
AUUUUUUUGAGGAAUCUUCAUACUGUUUUCCAUAGUGGUUGAAACAAUUUACAUUCUCACCAGUAGUGCAUGAGGGUUCCCUUUUCUCCACAUCCUUGCCAACACUUGUUAUUUCUUGUCCUUUUGAUAUUAGCUAUUCUGACAGGCAUAAGGUGGUGUCUCAUUGUGGUUUUGAUUUGAAUUUCCCUGAUUCUUAGUGAUGCUGGGCAUCUUUUCAUGUGGACCUACAUUUGAAUACCAACCUUAUCAUUUAUUUAGCUGUAAAACUUCAGGCCAAUAAAUUUCUAUGAGCAUCCGUUUGCCUACCUAUAAGAUCACAGUAAAAAAAGUAAAAUGCAUGUCCUAUCAGAGCUGCUAUCAGGAGGAUUUCAGAUUAAAGCACUUGGCAGUGUCUUGCUCAUAGCCUAAUUCUUUUGAGUUGAAAUCUUAAAGAAGGUAUUUUAAAUCACAGAACACUGCUAUCUAAGACAGAGGAGAGAAUUCGGUUUUAGAACGAAGAUGUAGGUGGCUGGAUCUGACCUGUGGGCUCAAGAGGAAUAAUUACUCUCCCAACUUGUGUUUCCCAAAAUGUGUUACACAUUUUGAUUUGUUGGAUUUUUCUCAGAGAAAAGAAAUAAGAGUGGCAAUGGUGAAGAGAAAGGAAACAAGAUGGGGAAAUUGACAAGGGGAGAGAUACCGACUGAAAUAAUGAUGAAUGAAAGAACAAACAGAGCAUGGCACCAAAAACAGAGAAGCUGAGGGGGUGCUUUGUCAAAAUGAGGGAAGAAACCAAGAGGAAGGCAUGAGAUGCUGGCACCAGGGAUUCCAACUAGUGUCGCAAAGGAAUAAAGUGUUCCAAAACCCAGACACGAGCUCUCCACAGGGGAGUAGAUGCACUGUAGUUAUUUUAAGGAGAAAGAGUGUCCAUCAUCUCGUGCCUGGGAGACCUGUUGCCAUCUUCUCAGCGGCUGUAGCUGUUGGAAUAGUCGUGUCUGCAGUCCCCAGGGCAGUGUGGUGCACAUGAGGAGAGACCAGAAGUUGUUAUCCAGAGAAGCUGAACUGAAGGUGCUCUGGACUCCAGGACACUGGUCCACGCGGAGGGUGACAGGGAGGCGGCAGCACUUGGGUCAGGCCACUGGCCUUCCUCAGCCUCAGGUUCCUUAUCUACCUUGCAAACCUGAAGUGAGGAUUCAACAUAAUUUCUGUGAAGGGCUCAGCACAGAAUAAAUGCUCAAUAAAUGAUAGCCAUUAUAGUUUUUUUAAGUGUAUUUAUUUUGAGAGAGAGAGAGAAUAAGCAGGGGAGGGGCAGAGAUUGGGGGAGAGAGAGAAUCCCAAACAGGCUCUAC